UUCCGGUUGAUCCUGCCGGACCUGACUGCUAUCGGAUUGAUACUAAGCCAUGCGAGUCAUUGCAGCAAUGCAAGGCGGACGGCUCAGUAACACGUAGUCAAUCUACCCUGUGGACGGGGAUAAUCUCGGGAAACUGAGCAUAAUACCCGAUAGACCAUUAUGCCUGGAACGGUUUAUGGUUAAAAUGAUUCGUCGCCACAGGAUGGGACUGCGGCCUAUUAGCUUGUUGGUGAGUUAACGGCCCACCAAGGCGAUAACAGGUACGGGCUCUGAGAGGAGAAGCCCGGAGAUGGGUACUGAGACACGGACCCAGGCCCUAUGGGGCGCAGCAGGCGAGAAAACUUUGCAAUGUGCGAAAGCACGACAAGGUUAAUCCGAGUGGCCUCUGCUGAAGAGGUCUUUUGACAGUCCUAGAAACACUGUCGAAUAAGGGGUGGGCAAGUUCUGGUGUCAGCCGCCGCGGUAAAACCAGCACCUCAAGUGGUCAGGAUGAUUAUUGGGCCUAAAGCAUCCGUAGCCGGAUCUGUAAGUUUUCGGUUAAAUCUAUGCGCUCAACGUAUAGGCUGCCGGAAAUACUGUGGAUCUAGGGAGUGGGAGAGGUAGACGGUACUCGGUAGGAAGAGGUAAAAUUCACUAAUCUAUCGAUGACCACCUGUGGCGAAGGCGGUCUACCAGAACACGUCCGACGGUGAGGGAUGAAAGCUGGGGGAGCAAACCGGAUUAGAUACCCGGGUAGUCCCAGCUGUAAACAAUGCAAACUCAAUGAUGCAUCGGGUUGAACCCGGUGCAGUGUUGCAGGGAAGCCGUUAAGUUUGCCGCCUGGGAAGUACGUACGCAAGUAUGAAACUUAAAGGAAUUGGCGGGGGAGCACCACAAGGGGUGAAGCCUGCGGUUCAAUUGGAUUCAACGCCGGG
Molecule: ribosomal RNA, 914 nt
Filed under: uncultured crenarchaeote
Lineage: Archaea; Thermoproteati; Thermoproteota
Description: bacterial SSU rRNA
Rfam family: Archaeal small subunit ribosomal RNA
Source: RNAcentral